Molecule: ribosomal RNA, 253 nt
Filed under: uncultured bacterium
Lineage: Bacteria
Description: partial 16S ribosomal RNA
Rfam family: Bacterial small subunit ribosomal RNA
Source: RNAcentral
UACGUAGGCAGCAAGCGUUGUUCGGAAUUACUGGGCGUAAAGAGUGUGUAGGUGGUGUCGUAAGUUUGAUGUGAAAUCUCCCGGCUUAACUGGGAGGGUGCGCCGAAGACUGCGAUGCUGGAGUAUGGGAGAGGAAAGCGGAAUUCCUGGUGUAGCGGUGAAAUGCGUAGAUAUUGGGAAGAACACCGAUGGCGAAGGCAGCCAUCUGGACCGACACUGACGCUGAGGCGCGAAAGCGUGGGGAGCAAACAGG